This 253-nucleotide ribosomal RNA is filed under the name uncultured bacterium. RNAcentral describes it as "partial 16S ribosomal RNA". It matches the Rfam family "Bacterial small subunit ribosomal RNA", at positions 524 to 776 of the family's 1533-position model. The record is from RNAcentral.
GACGAACCGUGCGAACGUUGUUCGGAAUCACUGGGCUUAAAGGGCGCGUAGGCGGCUCUGUUGGUCGUGGGUGAAAUCCCCCAGCUUAACUGGGGAAGUGCUUACGAUACCGCGGAGCUCGAGGGAGGAAGGGGCGGCCGGAACUGUCGGUGGAGCGGUGAAAUGCGUUGAUAUCGACAGGAACGCCGGUGGCGAAAGCGGGCCGCUGGCCCUCUUCUGACGCUGAGGCACGAAGGCCAGGGGAGCAAACGGG